GGAGAGGUGGCCGAGUGGCUGAAGGCGCACGAUUGGAAAUCGUGUUGACGCUAAUACCGUCACGGGGGUUCGAAUCCCCCUCUCUCCGCCA
RNAcentral lists this transfer RNA (91 nucleotides) under Clostridia bacterium. RNAcentral describes it as "tRNA-Ser". It matches the Rfam family "tRNA". From Rfam's summary of the family: Transfer RNA (tRNA) molecules are approximately 80 nucleotides in length. Their secondary structure includes four short double-helical elements and three loops (D, anti-codon, and T loops). Lineage: Bacteria; Bacillati; Bacillota; Clostridia. The record is from RNAcentral. RNAcentral also lists the same sequence under 1 other name.